Long non-coding RNA from Gadus chalcogrammus (walleye pollock), 117 nucleotides. RefSeq lists it as uncharacterized. The transcript has 3 exons. Lineage: Eukaryota; Metazoa; Chordata; Actinopteri; Gadiformes; Gadidae. The record is from RefSeq and is a predicted model, not a curated record.
GAAUCAUCUAAACAUGCCACAGAAGAGGUUCCUGAAGAGGAUGAGGAAAAAAGAAGAGACUACGGUGGAGUGUAUGUCGGACUGCCCACUGACCUCAGCAACGUCCCUCAAGUUCAG